AUUUAAGUAGUUUAAAAAAAAUUUUGAUUUGUGGUGUCAAAGAUAUGGAUAUAAAUCAUCUUAAGUU
Molecule: transfer RNA, 67 nt
Filed under: Chasmoptera huttii
Lineage: Eukaryota; Metazoa; Arthropoda; Insecta; Neuroptera; Nemopteridae
Description: tRNA-His
Source: RNAcentral